This 1495-nucleotide long non-coding RNA is filed under the name Homo sapiens (human). RNAcentral describes it as "HSALNT0294253". The record is from RNAcentral. Lineage: Eukaryota; Metazoa; Chordata; Mammalia; Primates; Hominidae.
ACUAGCGGGAGGGGGCCGGGCUAGCGGGCUACUGGGCUGCGGAGACCAGAGCCCGGCUCCACUGAAGAAACCCGCCGGCUGCUGGGGCAGGGCGGCGAAAGGUCAGUCGGCCGAGAGGAGUCCGUGGAGCCACCGUUUCAUAGCCUCAGGGAAAGGAUCGGGCGUGCUCACGAGCCCUCUAACCCAUGGCUUAAACACCCGCUUCCUAAGCCUGGUUCCUGAAUAUAUCACAUGUGGUGAUAAACAUGAAGAUGUAUGAAAAAUUGUGUUCGUUGAGAGAAAAUGGAAGGCUUUUCAUUCUACUUCCACAUUUUCAUUCCAGCAGCUUUUCUGUUUUGGAAGAUGAGUACUGAAUCUUGCAAUGAAAUUUUUUUAACUUAAACAAGGUUCUUAUGCCUUUGUUUGAAAAACAUGGUUCCCUGUGAAAUUUUACAUGUAGAAGAAAGCUUCACACUACGAGAGCUCUCAGGAUAUAAUUAUUUCAGACAGAUACUGGGAACAUAAGAUGGCUUAUCAAUCUAAGAUGGCCUUCCUGUCCUUCGGAUUGAACUGAAACCAUCCCUGAUUCCAGGGAUAGGUAGAUGAUCCAGGUUUGGACAAUCAAAAUAUUGAACCACCCUGGACCUACAAGUGUUUCUGGGAUGGGAACAUGCAAACGUUGGUCCAAAUUGUUGUUCUAGGCAGCCCAGUACAUUUCUCCAAUGCCUGAUGGAAUGAUAGGGUAUGCAUAAAUGUUCAUGUGGGCUCUGGAGUAUACCAGGAACUGAAGUAAGGUACAUGGACGUCUUGAAUAUUGUAACUGAGAUGGGCAAGCCUACACCUUUGCAAAUAAAGGAGGAUUGGGAAAGAUUAAGCCUCUCAAGCACUGUGAAAAAUCACUUUCUCUUGUUGUAUUCUUGGAGCCCCUGCUAAUUCAUUAUUGAAAAAUACCUGCUGCCUGCAUUUGGCCUUAUGUUGUCAUUUACUUGGUACUUCCUAAGCGUGGCUACUCCAAUGAAGCUUUAGUAUAUGUACUGAAAGAAGAUCCUCUCAUACUGCCACAGCCAAGAGAUAAGGUUGUAAAUCUUUAUUGGGAGAAGCCGUCAAGGACAGUUCUGUGAAAUGAAAGGAUCUCUGGAUCACCACAAAGUCUGGCUCAGUGACUAUGGCUUUGCAAACACUAAACAUUCCUGUCUCAAGUCCUGUAGAUGGCUUGAAAUAGUAUACAUAAGCAUGCCUUAUAAACAUCUUCAGUCUUUAUCAACUCUUUGGAGAUUCAGCCAUUCUUUUUUGUACUUUAGGGAAUUAAAUCAUUUUAUAAUGUAUAAAUCUGAGCAUGGCCGAUGGCAGAAGAAAUUUUGUCAUACGUUUUUAAAGAAAUAAAAAUGUAUUAUGUUUUAAAAUUCCUUUAACUGUUUUUCUUACAAAAUUCCCAACAACUUAGUUACCAAGUAAACUAUCUCAGAUAUGAUUUUUCAGUCCUUGCUAAUCUAUUUAUAAAAUCUUUUGCUAUUUU